This 253-nucleotide ribosomal RNA is filed under the name uncultured bacterium. RNAcentral's name for it is "partial 16S ribosomal RNA". It matches the Rfam family "Bacterial small subunit ribosomal RNA", at positions 524 to 776 of the family's 1533-position model. The record is from RNAcentral.
UACGUAGGGGGCAAGCGUUGUCCGGAAUCAUUGGGCGUAAAGCGCGUGUAGGCGGCUUGGUAAGUCCGCUCUGAAAGCCCGGGGCUCAACCCCGGGAGGCGGGUGGAUACUGUCAAGCUCGAGUCCGGAAGAGGCGAGUGGAAUUCCUGGUGUAGCGGUGGAAUGCGCAGAUAUCAGGAAGAACACCAACGGCGAAGGCAGCUCGCUAGGACGGUACUGACGCUGAGACGCGAAAGCGUGGGGAGCGAACAGG